RNAcentral lists this ribosomal RNA (513 nucleotides) under uncultured bacterium. RNAcentral's name for it is "bacterial SSU rRNA". It matches the Rfam family "Bacterial small subunit ribosomal RNA", at positions 57 to 571 of the family's 1533-position model. The record is from RNAcentral.
GCAAGUCGAACGGGAAACCUUUUAUUGAAGCUUCGGCAGAUUUAAUUUGUUUCUAGUGGCGGACGGGUGAGUAACGCGUGGGUAACCUGCCCUAUACAGGGGGAUAACAACCAGAAAUGGUUGCUAAUACCGCAUAAGCGCACAGGACCGCAUGGUCCGGUGUGAAAAACUCCGGUGGUAUAGGAUGGACCCGCGUUGGAUUAGCCAGUUGGCAGGGUAACGGCCUACCAAAGCGACGAUCCAUAGCCGGCCUGAGAGGGUGAACGGCCACAUUGGGACUGAGACACGGCCCAGACUCCUACGGGAGGCAGCAGUGGGGAAUAUUGCACAAUGGGGGAAACCCUGAUGCAGCGACGCCGCGUGAAGGAAGAAGUAUCUCGGUAUGUAAACUUCUAUCAGCAGGGAAGAUAGUGACGGUACCUGACUAAGAAGCCCCGGCUAACUACGUGCCAGCAGCCGCGGUAAUACGUAGGGGGCAAGCGUUAUCCGGAUUUACUGGGUGUAAAGGGAGCG